Molecule: ribosomal RNA, 599 nt
Filed under: Salmonella enterica
Lineage: Bacteria; Pseudomonadati; Pseudomonadota; Gammaproteobacteria; Enterobacterales; Enterobacteriaceae
Description: partial 23S ribosomal RNA
Rfam family: Bacterial large subunit ribosomal RNA
Source: RNAcentral
GGUGUGACUGCGUACCUUUUGUAUAAUGGGUCAGCGACUUAUAUUCUGUAGCAAGGUUAACCGAAUAGGGGAGCCGGAGGGAAACCGAGUCUUAAUUGGGCGUUAAGUUGCAGGGUAUAGACCCGAAACCCGGUGAUCUAGCCAUGGGCAGGUUGAAGGUUGGGUAACACUAACUGGAGGACCGAACCGACUAAUGUUGAAAAAUUAGCGGAUGACCUGUGGCUGGGGGUGAAAGGCCAAUCAAACCGGGAGAUAGCUGGUUCUCCCCGAAAGCUAUUUAGGUAGCGCCUCGUGAAUUCAUCUCCGGGGGUAGAGCACUGUUUCGGCUAGGGGGCCAUCCCGGCUUACCAACCCGAUGCAAACUGCGAAUACCGGAGAAUGUUAUCACGGGAGACACACGGCGGGUGCUAACGUCCGUCGUGAAGAGGGAAACAACCCAGACCGCCAGCUAAGGUCCCAAAGUCAUGGUUAAGUGGGAAACGAUGUGGGAAGGCCCAGACAGCCAGGAUGUUGGCUUAGAAGCAGCCAUCAUUUAAAGAAAGCGUAAUAGCUCACUGGUCGAGUCGGCCUGCGCGGAAGAUGUAACGGGGCUAAACCAU